RNAcentral lists this ribosomal RNA (497 nucleotides) under uncultured bacterium. Its description in RNAcentral is "bacterial SSU rRNA". It matches the Rfam family "Bacterial small subunit ribosomal RNA", at positions 8 to 507 of the family's 1533-position model. The record is from RNAcentral.
AGAGUUUGAUCCUGGCUCAGGAUGAACGCUGGCGGCAUGCCUAAUACAUGCAAGUCGAACGGAAUCUUAUAUGUUCCUCGUUUCGGAUUUAGUUCCGAGUUGGGGAACAAUAAGAUUUAGUGGCGACGGGUGAGUAACACGUUGGUACCUACCCUCUAGUGGGGAAUAACUUCGAGAAAUCGAGGCUAAUACCGCAUAAUAUCUACGGAUUAAAGCAUUUAUGCGCUAGAGGAGGGGCCUGCGUCUGAUUAGCUUGUUGGUGAGGUAAAAGCUCACCAAGGCGACGAUCAGUAGCUGGAUCGAGAGGUUGACCAGCCACACUGGGACUGAGAUACGGCCCAGACUCCUACGGGAGGCAGCAGUAAGGAAUCUUCCACAAUGGGCGAAAGCCUGAUGGAGCAAUGCCGCGUGCAGGAUGACGGCCUUCGGGUUGUAAACUGCUUUUAUAUGGGAAGAUUAUGACGGUACCAUAUGAAUAAGGACCGGCUAACUACGUG